Molecule: ribosomal RNA, 251 nt
Filed under: uncultured eukaryote
Lineage: Eukaryota
Description: partial 18S ribosomal RNA
Rfam family: Eukaryotic small subunit ribosomal RNA
Source: RNAcentral
GGUUGAUCCUGCCAGCAAUCAUAUGCUUGUCUCAAAGAUUAAGCCAUGCAUGUCUAAGUAUAAGUAAUUGUACUGCGAAACUGCGAAUGGCUCAUUAUAUCAGUAAUAAUCUACUUGACUAAUUCUGUUACUUGGAUAACUGUAGGAAUUCUAGAGCUAAUACAUGCAAACAGCCUGGACCGGGGCAACUUGGGAAGGGCGCGUUUACUAGUGGAGAGACCAACUUGGGGCGAUAACUCGGCUAGGGGGCA